AACAGCAUAUUACCCCCUCCGUUCCUAAAUAUAAGACUUUUUAGAGAUUGCACUAUAAACUACAUACGGAUGUACAUAGACAUAUUUUAGAGUAUAGAUUCACUCAUUUUACUUCGUGUGUAGUCUUCUAAUGAAAUCUUUAAAAGGUCUUAUGUUUUGAUGCCCGAUGGUUUUGUGGUAGGAUGUGGGUGGGGCUGCUCAUGUAUUUUAUUUCUUAUUUUUGAUCUGUUUUGUAAGAGGGUCUUCUUAAAACCUUGUAUCAGUUUGAAAGUUCGACGUGAAUACCUUUCUUAAUAGUUGAAGGCCGCUACAUCAUAUUUUUCAUGUAGAUUUUGUAUCUAUAUAAGCCCACAAUAAAAAAUAUGUUUUGUAUCUAUAUAAGGCCAUCAACAUUAAACGAGGCAAAAAUUAUAGCAUUUCCUCGUACUAGUAACUUAUUUAAUAUUUGCAUGCAUUUGAUCAUAA
Molecule: long non-coding RNA, 465 nt
Filed under: Hordeum vulgare
Lineage: Eukaryota; Viridiplantae; Streptophyta; Magnoliopsida; Poales; Poaceae
Description: long non-coding RNA (HVUL_LNC002273)
Source: RNAcentral